Molecule: ribosomal RNA, 489 nt
Filed under: uncultured bacterium
Lineage: Bacteria
Description: bacterial SSU rRNA
Rfam family: Bacterial small subunit ribosomal RNA
Source: RNAcentral
AUUGAACGCUGGCGGCAUGCUUUACACAUGCAAGUCGAACGGCAGCACAGGGAGCUUGGCUCCCGGGUGGCGAGUGGCGCACGGGUGAGUAAUACAUCGGAACGUGUCCUGUUGUGGGGGAUAACUGCUCGAAAGGGUGGCUAAUACCGCAUGAGACCUGAGGGUGAAAGCGGGGGAUCGCAAGACCUCGCGCAAUUGGAGCGGCCGAUGCCCGAUUAGCUAGUUGGUGAGGUAAAGGCUCACCAAGGCGACGAUCGGUAGCUGGUCUGAGAGGACGACCAGCCACACUGGGACUGAGACACGGCCCAGACUCCUACGGGAGGCAGCAGUGGGGAAUUUUGGACAAUGGGGGCAACCCUGAUCCAGCCAUGCCGCGUGCAGGAUGAAGGCCUUCGGGUUGUAAACUGCUUUUGUCAGGGACGAAAAGGACCGUGUUAAUACCAUGGUCUGCUGACGGUACCUGAAGAAUAAGCACCGGCUAACUACGUG